Molecule: ribosomal RNA, 916 nt
Filed under: uncultured archaeon
Lineage: Archaea
Description: bacterial SSU rRNA
Rfam family: Archaeal small subunit ribosomal RNA
Source: RNAcentral
UUCCGGUUGAUCCCGCCGCCGGCUACUGCUAUCAGGUUUCGACUAAGCCAUGCGAGUCAAAGGGUCGCAAGACACUGGCGUACUGCUCAGUAACACGCGGACAAUCUACCCCCAGGUGGGGGAUAACCUCGGGAAACUGAGGCUAAUACCCCAUAGUUGCCAUAUGCUGGAAUGCUUUGGCGAUGAAAGAUUUUUUGCCUGAGGAUGAGUCUGUGGCCUAUCAGGUAGUAUGUGGUGUAAAGGACCACAUAGCCUAAGACGGGUACGGGCCUUGAAAGAGGGAGCCCGGAGAUGGACUCUGAGACACUAGUCCAGGCCCUACGGGGCGCAGCAGGCGCGAACACUGUGCAAUGCGCGAAAGCGCGACACGGGAAGCCUGAGUGCCUUAACACAGUUAAGGCUUUUCUCAAGCCUAAAAAGCUUGAGGAAUAAGAGCUGGGUAAGACGGGUGCCAGCCGCCGCGGUAACACCCGCAGCUCGAGUGGUGGUCACUUUUAUUGAGCCUAAAGCGUUCGUAGCCGGUUCUGUAAAUCUUCAGAUAAAUUCAUUCGCUCAACGGAUGAUCUUCUGAAGAGACUGUAGAACUUGGGACCGGGUGAGGUUGAAUGUACUUCCGGGGUAGGGGUAAAAUCCUGUAAUCCUGGAAGGACAACCGGUGGCGAAGGCGUUCAACUAGAACGGAUCCGACGGUGAGGAACGAGGGCUAGGGGAGCAAACCGGAUUAGAUACCCGGGUAGUCCUAGCUGUAAACACUGCCCACUUGGUGUUGCCUCUCUGUUGAAGGGGGGCAGUGCCGGAGCGAAGGUGUUAAGUGGGCCGCUUGGGGAGUAUGGUCGCAAGGCUGAAACUUAAAGGAAUUGGCGGGGGAGCACCGCAACGGGAGGAGCGUGCGGUUUAAUUGGAUUCAACGCCGGAA